RNAcentral lists this ribosomal RNA (502 nucleotides) under uncultured bacterium. RNAcentral describes it as "bacterial SSU rRNA". It matches the Rfam family "Bacterial small subunit ribosomal RNA", at positions 117 to 597 of the family's 1533-position model. The record is from RNAcentral.
GUAGGUAAUUUGCCUUUGGGUGGGGAAUACCNCNNUNGAAACGGUUGUUAAUACCGCAUAAUGCAGCGGCAUCACAUGAUGACAGUUGUUAAAGCGGGGGAUUGGAGCAAUCCGACCUCGCGCCUGAAGAGAAGCCUGCGGCAGAUUAGGUAGUUGGUGAGGUAAUGGCUCACCAAGCCUGCGAUCUGUAACCGGCCUGAGAGGGCGGUCGGUCACACUGACACUGACAUACGGGUCAGACUCCUACGGGAGGCAGCAGUGAGGAAUAUUGCGCAAUGGACGACAGUCUGACGCAGCGACUCCNCGUGGGGGAUGAAGGCCUUCGGGUUGUAAACCCCUUUCANGAGGGAAGAUGGGACGGGAAACCGUUCGGACGGUACCUCCANAAGCAGCCACGGNCUAACUCUGUGCCAGCAGCCGCGUGUAAGACAGAGGUGGCAAGCGUUGUUCGGAUUUACUGNGCGUAAAAGCGUGCGUAUGUGGUUCNGGUAAAGACCUGUGG